This 482-nucleotide ribosomal RNA is filed under the name uncultured Pelotomaculum sp. RNAcentral's name for it is "bacterial SSU rRNA". It matches the Rfam family "Bacterial small subunit ribosomal RNA", at positions 904 to 1382 of the family's 1533-position model. The record is from RNAcentral. Lineage: Bacteria; Bacillati; Bacillota; Clostridia; Eubacteriales; Desulfotomaculaceae.
UACAAGGAAUUGACGGGGCCCGCACAGCGGUGGAGCAUGUGGUUUAAUUCGACGCAACGCGAAGAACCUUACCAGGGCUUGACAUCCCCUGACCGCGUAUGAAAGUACGUUUUCACCCUCGGGUGACAGGGAGACAGGUGGUGCAUGGUUGUCGUCAGCUCGUGUCGUGAGAUGUUGGGUUAGGUCCCGCAACGAGCGCAACCCCUACGUUUAGUUGCUAACGCGUGAAGGCGAGCACUCUAGACGAACUGCCGUUGGCAAAACGGAGGAAGGUGGGGAUGACGUCAAAUCAUCAUGCCCCUUAUGUUCUGGACUACACACGUGCUACAAUGGCCGGUACAGACGGACGCAAAGCCGCGAGGUGGAGCAAAUCCUAAAAAGCCGGUCUCAGUUCGGAUUGCAGGCUGCAAUUCGCCUGCAUGAAGUCGGAAUCGCUAGUAAUCGCAGGUCAGCAUACUGCGGUGAAUACGUUCCCGGGCCUU